AACCGCCCUGCGACCCCGCUGAGAACGCACACAUGUCCCACGGCGCUGAGCUGCCUGCUGGAUGGGAACCGCCCUCCCACGGGAGUGGGGUCACCGAGACGACUAUGCCGGGACACGCAGGGACAAGCCAAAUGGGGAUGGUACGAAAUGGAUCGGCGUGAAAACUCCGAGAAUCACCUGGAGCUCAUCGGGCUGAUCAAUACCUUGUCUGAUCUAGAUGGGUUUGAUCGCCGCCAGCGGCUGGAGCGCCGAAGCACCGGGGAUGCUGACGCACAGCUUACCCAGACAAGUGAAAAGAAUAAAAUUUUAUACCAGAAAAAGUGAAAAUAUUUCCACCAAGAUCUGAAGGCUCUAAGGAGGAGACCUAAUAAAAAUGGAGAAAACACACAUGAAAUUGAUUUUUAAAAACAGAGUCUCUCUGUUGCCCAGGCUGGAGUGCAGUGGCACAAUCUCAGCUCACCACAAUCUCCACCUCCCGGGUUCAAGUGAUUCUCCUGCCUCAGCCUCCUGUGUUGCUGGGACUACAAGCAUGCACCACCACACCUGGCUAACUUCUGUAUUUUUGGUAGAGACAUGGUCUCGCCAUGUUGCCUAGGCUGGUCUCGAACUCCUGGCCUCAAGUGAUCUGCCUGCCUUAGACUCCCAAAGUGCUGUGAUUACAGGCGUGAGCCACCACGAGUGGCUGAGGGAAUAAGACAUGGACACAUUUGAGAGGCCAUUUCUUCUGCUCACCACUAGGCCACAGGAAAUCAAAGUGGAUGCUAAUGGAGGAACCCAUUGUCACCCACUGAGUUAAUAUGAAGAGUAUUUUAAACUAAAACAUUUAAGAUACAGCAGAUACAGAAAGAAGCCUUUCUGGAACUUCCCUUAAUUUGACUAAAGGCAGAGAUUUCAGAGAGUGAAGCUGCCAUAAAUUCCCUCUUGGGGAGCUUCACUGCCAAUAAGGAGACUUCACUGCCAGGAAGAAAGCUCCACUGCCGGAAGGAGACCACUUCCACCAGAAUGCAAACUGCAUAACCGAACAAUCACAAAUUGCCUUGUCUUCAUCUGUUUCCCUAAAAGCCCAUUUGUCUUUCCUUUUAUGGAAAGGAAAGCGUAUUUGUUUUCCCAUAGAUCCCUUUCUCUCCUCCUCCCUUUUCCCAUAUUGUUGGCAUAUAAACUCCUAUCUCUAACUGUACAGAGAGCCUCUUCACCUGAAUAAGUAUAAAUAAACUUCGUAUGUUCUGUUAAUCCAUCUAUUACCAAUUAACUUACAGGCCCCCAAGCACUGGACCUAAGUGGGCAGAGGAAGAGUUUCCUCCCAACGCUGAUAUGAGACAUAGAAACUGUACAGCAACACCAAGGCCCCUACAAUGGGACUCUAUAAACAGUGGUUUGAAAGCUGCAAAUGGGCGUGGCUUUCUCAUUUACAAAUAUAUGAAGGUAAAGGGUUAGAUAAAUUCUAGGGUAUGGUUUUGCUGGGUGGGUAAGGCAACACAGAGAUGAAGCAAAUGAGUUGUAUGAGUGAAGUCAUUCAUCAUCAUAGGAAAGCGAAGUACACGGAGGGGUCACAUGGAGAUGGCAAGAGCUGAAACAGGAGGAUCAGGUCACUGAGUGGGAUACUGGCAUUUAAUAUUCACAUUACAGGUUUUGAUAAGGUCCCACGGUUUGAACACAAGAGUGAGGUUAUGGAAGUGGAAGGGAAGUGUAUUUGGUGUAUUUGUUUUCUGUUGCUUGAGUAACAAAUUACCAUCAAGUUAGUGUCUUAAAACAAUACCCAUGUAUUAUCUCCCAGUUAUUGAGGUCAGAAGUCUAGGUUAGGUUAGGCUUUGCUCAGGGUAUCAAUAGGCCAAGUAAAAGUGUCAGCCAGCUGAACUCUUAGCUGGAGGCCUUCAGUAAAGAACCAAGCCGAGUCAGGUUGUUGGCAGAAUCUAUUUCCUUUUGGUUCCAGGACUGAGUUUCCUGUGUCCUUGCUGAAUGUCAACCAGGGGCACCCUCAGCUCCUCCAGACUACCUGCAUUUCUUCCCAGGUGGCCUCUCCACUUUCAAAACAGUUUGGGUCCUUCUCAAACUUUGAAUCCAACUGUCCCUUCUGCAUUUUCUUUUCUUUUUUUUUUUUUUCUUUUGAGAUGGAGUCUUGCUUUGUUGCCCAGGCUGGAGUACAGUGGUGCAAUCUUGGCUCAUUGCAACCUUCACCUCCCAGGCUCAAGUGAUUCUCCUGCCUCAGCCUCUCGAGUAGCUGGGACUACAGAUGUGCACCAACAUGCCUGGCUAAUUUUUGUAUUUUUAGUAGAGAUGGGGUUUCACCAUAUUUCCCAAGCUAGUCUUGAACUCAUGACCUCAGGUGAUUCACCCACCUCAGCCUCCCAAAGUGCUGGGAUUACAGAUGUGAGCCACUAUGCCCAGCCUCCUUCUGCCUUUUAAAGGACUUAUGUGAUAAAAUAAGGGCCGCCUUUACAAUCUCAGUAUUUUAGAGUCAACUGACUUAAGGCUUUAGUUAUAACGUCAAAAUCCUUCAGAUCAGAACCUAGAUUACUGUUUGAUGAAAUAACUAGGAAAUGAACUGGAAAGAGGGUUAGGGAAGAGGCAGAUCUUUAGAAUUCUGCCUGUCCUGGAGGUGGAGUUGAAAUCAGAGAGCACAGAAGCUAGGGUAAUGGGAUGAUCACCAAAAUAAGCACAGAUGUUACCAAGACAGUAAUAAUCCGAGAUUAUUAUUAUUAUUGUCAGAAAACAGGUGUCAAAGUAUUUUAGACAUGGAAAGUGAACAGAAGGUGAGUAUAUGAUGGCAUUUACACAGAGAGGGACAGCAUGGGAGAGGGGGCAGGGGAUUGGGGUAGUGAGAGCCCAGAUGCUGGAGACAGAACACCUUGGUUCAUAUAAUUUGCUUUAUACAGCAGACAAGUGACCAAUUAAGAAUUAAUUCAUUUGGUUAUAAAGUUCAUUUGGGGCUGGGCACAGUGGCUGACACCUGUAAUCCCAGUACUUUGGGAGGCCAAGGCAGGCGGGUCAUGAGGUCAAGAGGUCGAGUCCAGCCUAGCCAAUAAGGUGAAACCCCGUCUCUCCUAAAAAUACAAAAAACAGCUGGGCAUGGUGGCACACACCUGUAGUCCUAGCUACUUGGGAGGCUGAGGCAGGAGUAUUCCUUGAACCUCAGAGGCGGAGGUUGCAGUGAGCCAAGAUCACGCCACUGCACUCCAGCCUGGCAACAGAGCAAAACUCCAUCUCAAAAAAAAAAAAGAAAUUUCAUUUGGUUAUAAAGUUUAUUUAGUUAUAAAUAAACCCCUAAAAAUUAGACUGCAGUGAACAAAAAUGUAGGUAUUGAUAAUUAACCUGCUGAGUCAGAUAGUAUAGUAGAGCGUUUAACAGUUGUCUCUGCAAAUUAGGCUGAAAGGUUAAAUGUUGAGUUCACCAAACUACAUUUCAGUACCUAUAAAAGUCUUUUGUUUAAACUUUGGAGGGCAGUAUAACAUACACACCAAAAAAGUACAGAAAAUCUGAGUAGACAGCUUGAUACGUAUUUACAAAGUGAACACACCGGUAUAUCUAUCACCUGGAUUAAAAAAUAAAGAGAGUGCUAGCAAUGCCACAGAGGCCUCCUUCAAGCUCCAUCCCUUCCAAAGGUAACAACGAUUCUGAUUCUAUCAUUAUAUAUUAGUUGUGUCUGUUUAAAACUGUAUAUAAAUGAAGUAGUUUUUUUUUUUUUUUUUUUUGAGACAGGGUCGCACUCUGUCAUCCAGGCCAGAGUGCGAUGACACAAUCUCAGUUCAGUGCAGCCAUGGCCUCCUGGUUAAAAGCAAUUCUCCUGCCUCUGCCUCCUGAGUAGCUGUGAUUACAAGCCUGCACCACCAAGCCUGGCUAAGUUUGUAUUUUCAGUAGAGAUGGGGUUUCACCAUGUUGACCAGGCUGGUCUAGAACUGACCUCAAAUGAUCCGCCCACCUCGGCCUCUCAAAGUGCUGGGAUUACAGGCGUGAGCCAUCAUGCCCAACCAAGCAAGUAGUUACCCUUUUGAGACUGGCUUCUUUUCUUGAAUAUUAUCUGCAUGGAAUUCAUAUAUUUUGCAUGCGAUGUCAUAAAGGCUUAUUCACUCUUUAUGUAGGAUUUCAUUGUAUGAAUACAAUGUCAUUUAUCUAUCUACUCUUGAUGGGCCUUUGGGUCCUUUCCAGUUUUGCAAUACACCCUAAAGUGUCCAAUUGGAAAAGAGUUCUAAUGGUCAGUUAAACCCAUCAUCCACAAGUAUUGCUAAAUGGAGGCCCAAAAUGUGAAACUAUUUUCUCCCUUUGAUUCUGCUCCAAACAGCACAAACAAAACAAAAAAUAGCAAGAGGAUUAAUAUUGUAGAAGAAAGCAAAUAAGUAAAUGAUGGUUCCAUUUCUCCCUCAAACAGAUGUUAUCCAACCCCUCAUUAAGCAAUGUUUUAUUGAGGCCUACCUUACAUUAGGGCCCAUGAUUGGCAUUGAAGAGAAACAAGACACAGGUCCAGGCAAGGUGGCUCACGCCUGUAAUCCCAGCACUUUGGGAGGCCAAGAUGGGUGGAUCGCCUGAGGUCAGGAGUUCAAGACCAGCCUGGCCAACAUGGCGAAACCCUGUCUCUACUAAAAUACAAAAAUUAGCUUGGCAUGGUGGCAUGCACAUGUAAUUCCAGCUAGUUGGGAAGCGGAGGCAGAAGAAUCGCUUGAACCUGGGAGGCAGAGGUUGCAGUGAGCUGAGAUCAUACCACUGCACUCCAGCCUGAGUAGCAGAGUGAAACUCUGUCUGCCCCCACACAAAAAAACCUGCAUUUUAAAACUUUUUUCUUUCCUCCUUUCUUGCCAGUCUCAAGAUGCAGCUUUGAGACAAACCACAGAUAUGUUUCUGUCAUCUUAAAAUAUGCCUUAGAAUAUUCUUUAACAAUCUAUUCCCUUCCCUUUCCCACCUUAUGCUUCCAUGCCUAAUGCACAUUUAUUUACCUGGAUGCUUGUUAAACUCACACCAUACUCAGUUAUCUGGUCAUAUAUUUCCUUAGAGGCUUCAGGGAACUAAUCCUACACAAAACAGGCGCUUCUGGGAUUCUCUCCCCAGCAGGAGAUUACUUACAGGCCAGAGUUCACUCCCAGCUAGAUACUGACUGCAAGACUGAUUGGGAUUGAUUUGUAACUUGGCUGAACCCACCAAGGUGCUGGCCUUUUCACCAAAUGGAACAAUAAUUCAAAAUAAGCCAUUGGGGCAAGCCAUACCACCUGGCAUCUGCUAGCUCCCUUGCCUCUCCUGCAUUCAAAGCCCCUCUUUUGAAACCCCUGCCCUCUCUCCAGAAAUUGGAAAGUGGAAAUUUUGGAAAAGUAUUCUGACCACUUUCCCCUUGCUGGCAAUGGAUAAUAAAAUUUGCUCUUUAUCAUACCUCGCUCUUGUUAUUUUUUCUUCAUUCCACAGGCAGCGAGCAACCGGUUUCUCUUUCAGUCAUAAAUGUAAUGUUUUAGAAGUUUCAUCUGAUCAACCUAAAUGCCCAUAAUUAGCAGAUGGGAUAAAAUGCACUGGUGUAUAUGUACACACCAUGAGGGUGUAAGACAUACAUACCAUGAAAUACUAUACAACCAUAAAAAAGAACGAGAACAUGUCUUGCAGGAACAUAGAUAGAGCUGGAGACUAUUAUCCUUAGUAAAGUAACACAGGAACAGAAAACUAAACAUCACAUGUUGUUACCUAUAAGUGGGAGCUAAAUGAUGAGAACUUGUGAACACAAAGAAGGAAACAACAGACACUGGCGUCUACUUGAGGGUGGAGGUUGGAAAAGGGAGAGAUGCAGAAGAAGUAACUUGGGUACUAGGCUUAAUACCUGGUUGAUGAAAUAACCUGUACCACAAGCCCUUGUGACACAAGUUUAUUUAUACAACAAACUUUCACAUGUACCCUUGAACCUAAAGUAGAAGUUAAAAAAAAGAUUAAUCUGUUCCUGUAUAGAAUGGAUGGGGGAUGUGGGAAGGCAGAGAUCAGUCUGGAAAUUUUUAAAAAAAUGAUUGAACUAAACAGAUGACUUAAAUUGAGGAAAGGGGCAUCAAAGAAACACUUUAAAUGAAGAAUUUACAGAAGCUGGUGACUGAUAGAACAUCAAAGGUAAAAGACAAAGAAGCUAGAGCUGACUUCAAGGUCUGAAAUUCUUGGGGUUUCAUAAAUGGAAAUUAUGAGGUAUAGGAAAGUGUGCCUUACACUUCAGUGUAUUUCCAUAUAUUACCUAGUUCAGUGCCUUGAACACAAGCAAUACUCAAUAAACAUGUGCUUUCUGAACAAUAAAAGUGAGCUUAUCUUAUGUGAUUCAGGAACCUAUUUACCCUUACCUGAGUCUCCCUUGCUUGAAAAUGGAGAGGAGUUUCAUGAAAGACUGACCUUUCAUAUAAUCCAUCUCUGACGACUAUAAACAUUUUAUUGCCUAUAGAGAUAAGAUUUUAUUUGUGGGAGCAACUAAAGUUAAAGCACAAUAAGCAUUAAAUAAACUUAUGAUUCAUUGUACAGUGACUUGGAAUUUUUUCACAUCUGGUUGACAUACUUAAUAUAUGAUGUCAACAUCUCACCUAGAACUACAUUUUAGUCUUCCCUAUGUCAUCAUAAUAUUAGACCAAGAAACACAUUAUACUAUGUGUAACAAGGCCAUCAGCCAAUCUAUUUUUUUAAUUCUUAAUUUUAAUUUUUGUGAGUACAUAGUAGGUAUAUAUAUUUAUGUAUACAUGAGACAAUGUAUAGUAAUCACAUCAUGUAAAAUGGGGUGUCUGUCUCCUCAAGAUUUUAUUGUGUUAUGACAAUCCAGUUAUACUCAUUUUGUUAUUGUACAAUUAAAUUAUUAUUGGCUGGGCAAGAUGGCUCACACUUGCAAUCCCAGCACUUUGGGAGGCCAAGGCGGGUGGAUCACCUGAGGUCAGGAGUAUGAGACCAGCCUGACCAACAUGGUGAAACCCCAUCUCUACUAAAAAUACAAAAAAUUAGCCAGGCGUGGUGGCAGGUGCCUGUAAUCCCAGCUACUCAGGAGGCUGAGGCCUGAGAAUCACUUGAACCUGGAAGGUGGAGGUUGCAGUGAGCCAAGAUGGCACCACUGCACUCCAGCCUGGGGAAUAGAGCAAGACUCUGUCUUGAAAAAAAAAAAAAAAAAAAAAAUUAUUGACUAUAGUAAUUCUGUUGUGCUCUCAAAUGCUAGGUCUUAUUCAUUCUAUUUUUGUUGUACCCAUUAACCAUCCCACCUCCUUCUCACCCUGCAGUAUGCUUCCCAGACUCUGGUAACCAUCCCCCUACUCUCUAUCUCCAUUUCAAUUGUUUUGAUUUUUAGAUUCCACAAAUGAGAACAUGCAAUGUUUGCCUUUCUCUGCCUGGCUUAUUUCACAUAGCAUAAUGACUUCCAGUUCCAGCCAUGUUGCUGCAAAUAACAGGAUCUCAUUCUUUUAUAUGGCUAUAGUACUCCAUUAUGUAUAUGUACCACAUUUUCUUUAUCCAUUCAUCUGCUGACAAACAUUCAGGUUGAUUCCAAAUGUGAGCUAUUGUGAAUCAUGCUACAACAAACAUGGGAGUGCAGAUAUCCCUUUGAUAUAAUGAUUGUCUUUCUUUGGGGUAUAUACCAAGGAGCAGGACUGCUGGGUCGUAUGGUAGCUCUAUUUUUAGUGUGUUGAGGAGCCUCAAAAAUGUUCUCCAUACUGGUUGUACUAAUUUACAUUCUCACCAACAGUGAAUAGAAUUUACUUUUCUCCACAUCCUUGCCAGCAUCUGCUAUUAUCUUUUGGAUAAAAGCCAUUUUAACUGAGGUGAGACGAUAUUUUACUGUAGUUUUGAUUUGCACUUCUCUCAUGAUCAGUGAUGUUGAGCACUUUUUCAUAUGCCUAUUUACCAUUUUGUGUUGUGUUUUGAUAAAUGCCUAUUCAAACCUUUAGUCCAUUUUAAAAUCAGAUCAUUAGAUUUUUUUUUCCUCUAGAGUUGUUUGAGCUCCAUAUAUAUUCUGGAUAGUAAUCCCUUGUCAGAUGGGUAGUUUGCAAAUAUUUUCUCCUUCUCUGUGGGAUGUCUCUUUCCACUGUUGUUUUGUUUGCUGUGCAGAAGCUUUGUAACUUGAUGUGAUUCCAUUUGUCCAUUUUUGCUUUGAUUGUCUGCUCAUGGGGUAUCACUCAGGAAAUUUUUGCUGAGAUCAAUCCAUGGAGAGUUUCCCCAGUGUUUUCUUAGAGUAGUUUCAUAAUUUGAGGUCUUAGAUUUAACUUAGAUUUUUAAAUCUGUUUUGAUUUGAAUUUUGUACAUGGCAAAAGAUAGGGGUCUAGUUUCAUUUUUCUGCAUAUGGAUAUCCAGUUUUCCCAGCACCGUUUGUUGAAGAGGUGGUCUUUUCCCCAGCAUAUGUUCUUGGCACCUUUGUCAAAAGUGAGUUCACUGUAGGUGUGUGGAUUUGCUUCUGGAUUCUUUAUUCUGUUCCAUUUGUCUGUAUGUCUGUUUUUAUCUCACUACCAUUCUAUUGGUUACUAUAGCUCUCUGGUAAAAUCAGAAGUCAGGUAAUGUCAUGUCCUCAAGUUUUGUUCUUUUUGCUAAGGACAGCUUUGGCUAUUCUGGGUCUUUUGUGAUUCCAUAUAAAUUUUAGGAUUGUUUUUUCUAUUCUAAUGAAGAAUGUCAUUGAUAUUUUGAUAGAGAUUGAAUUGAAUCUAUAGAAUGUUUGGGGUACUAUGAAUAUUUUAAUAAUAUUGAUUUUUCUAAUCCAUGAACAUGAAAUAUCUUUCCAUUUUUUGGUGUCCUAUUCAAUUUCUUUCAUCAGUGUUUUGUGAUGUUAAUUCCUAGGUAUUUAAUUUUAUUUGUCACUAUUUUAAGUAGGAUUUCAUUUUCAGAUUGUUUACUGUUGGUACAUAGAAGUACUACUGAUUUUUAUAUGUUGAUUCUUAUCCUGCAACUUUAUUGAAUUUGUUUAUCAGUUCUAAUAAUUCUUUUGCAAGUCCUUAGGUUUGUCCAAAUAUAACAUCAUAACAGCUGAAAACAAGGAUAAUUUGACUUAAUUCCAAUUUGGAUGGCCUUUAUUCCUUUUUCUUGGCUUACUGCUCUAGCUAAGACUUCCAGUACUAUGUUGAAUAACAGUGGUGGAAGUGGACAUCCUUGCUGUGUUCCAGAUCUUGGAGGAAAGGCUUUCAGUUUUUCCCCCUUCCAUAUGUAACUAGCUGUGGCUCUGUCAUAAUGACUCUCAUUUUAUUUAUACAUAUUAUAUUCCUUCUAUACCCAGAUUUGAAAAAAGGUUUUUGUCAUGAAGGGAUGUUGAAAGUGAUCAAAUGCUUUUCCAGUAUCAAUUAAAAUGAUCUUAUGGUUUUGUUCUUCAUUCUGUUGGCAUGAUGUAUCCCAAUGAUUGAUUUGCAUAUGUUGAACCAUUCUUGCAUCUUUAGGAUAAAUCCCACUUGGUGAUUAUGAAUGAUCUUUUUAAUGUAUUUUGUUAAAUUCAGUUUGCUAAUAUUUUGUUGAGAAUUUUGCAUCAAUAUUUAUCAGAGAUAUUUCCGUGUAGUUUUCUUUUUUUUUUGGUGUGUCUUUGAUUAUGGUAUCAGGGUAAUACUGGCCUCAUAGGAUGAGUUUAGAAGUAUUCCCUAUUUUUGGAAAUAAUUUGAGUAGGAUUGGUAUUAGGUCUUUAUAUGUUUGAUAGAAUUCAGCAAUGAAGCCAUCAGAUCUAGGCUUUUCUUUACUGGAGUUUUUUUUUAUUAUGGCUUCCAUCUCAUUACUUGCUAUUGGUCUGUUUGGGUUUUAGAUUUCUUCAUGGUUCAAUCUGAGUAGGUUGUAUGGGUUUAGGAAUUUGUCCAUUUCUUCUAGAAAUUCCAAUUCAUUGGGAUAUUGUUACUCAGAGCAGCCACUGAUGGUCCUUUGAAAUUCUGUGGUAUUGGUUGUAAUGUCUCCUUUCUCAUCUCUAAUUUUAUUUAUUUGGAUCUUCUCUCUUUUUUUGUUAGCUAGUCUAGCUAAAAAUUUGUCAAUUUUGUUUCAUUUUUUAAAAGUUCAACUUUUAGUUUUAUUUAGCCUUUUUGUAUUGUGUUUCAUUUCCAUUUUACUUAUUUCUACUCUGAUCUUUAUUAUUGCUUUUAUCUACUUUAUCUACUUUUAUCCACUUUAUUAUUGCUAUUAUCUACUGAUUUGGGGUUUGGCUUGCUCUGCCUUUUCUAGUAAGAAGAUGCAUCAUUUGGCUGUUUAUUUGAACUGUUUCCUCUUUGUUGAUGCAGGUACUUACAGCUAUAAACUUCCCAUUUAGUAUUGCUUUUGUUGUAUCUUACAGGUUUUGGCAUGUUGGAUUUCCAUCAUUAUUUGUGUCAAGAAAUUGUUCAAUUUCCUUCUGAGUUUCUUCAUUGACCCACUAGUCAUUCAGGAGAUACUCCUGAAUGUUUAAUUUCCAUGUAUUUGUAUACUUUCCAAAAUUCCUCUUGUUCUUGAUUUCUAGUUUUAUUGCACUGUGGUCAGAGAAGAUGCUAGAUAUAAUUUUAAUUUUUUUACUGUUUUAAGACUUGUUUUAUAAGAUAACAUAUGAUCUGAUAGCAAGAUCCAAGAUGGCCAAAUAGGAACAGCUCUGGGUUGCAGUUCCCAGCAAAAACGCAGAGGGUGAGUGAUCACUGCAUUUCCAAAUGAAUUUUUAUGGCCCAAAGACCAGGAGAUUCCCUGGUGGAAAAGCCACGAGUCUCCAGCAUGGCUGUUUCAGCCAUCGCAGUGGGUCUCCACACAAAAAGUCACACAAAUCUGGGCACCAUUUCAACUGGCGCCUGGAACACCUGGGAGACAGAGUCACCUGUUCAACUGAAAAAAAAAGGGGGCUGAAACAGGGAGCCAGGUGAUCUGGCUUGGCCAGUCCCACCUCCACAAAGACCAGCAAUCUGAAACGCUCUGGACUGAGAGUUUCACAGCAAGCACAGCUGGACCCAGGAUUGUCCAGCUCUGUGUGGGGAAGAGCGUCUGAUAUUACCAAGGCAGUCCACCACUACUGAGGCAGUCCAUCACUACCAAGGCAGUCCACCAUUACCGAGGCAGUCUGCCAUUACUGAGGCAGACUGCCAUUACCAACACAGUUCUAACUAUAUCUCUAUAAACAAAACUGCAAGGAAGUUCACACAGCAGCUGGGCAGAGUCCACCGCAGCUCAGCAAUGCCUCUGCUGGCAGACUGUGACUAGGCUACCUCCUCACUGGCCAGGGCAUCCCUGAAAAAAGACAGCAGCUCAUCAAGAACUUAUAAAUAAAGCCCCAUAUUCCCAGAACAGAGCACCUGGGAUAAAAAGGCAUUUAUGAGUUCCACUGCAGCAAACUUAAACGUACCUGCUCCUAUAAGGGACAGGCUGUCUCCUCAAGCAGCUCCCCAAACCCCAUAUAUCCAAAGAGACACCUCCUAAAGGAAAGCUCAGGCUGACAUCUGGAGGGUAUCCUUCUGGGACAAAGAUAACAGAAGAAGAAACUGGCAGCAACCCUUACUGCUCUGCAGCCACUGCAGGCGAUCCCCAGGCAAGCAGGGUCUGGAGUGGACCUCCAACAGUCCUACAGCAGAGGCGGCUGACUGUUAGAAGGAAAACUAAAAAGCAGGAAGAAAUAACUUCAACAUCACUCAGAGACCCCAUCUGAAAGUCACCAACUACAAAGACCACAAGUAGAUAAACCCACAAAGAUAGGAAGAAACCAGUGCAAAAAGGAUGAAAACAUCCAAAACCAGAAUGCGUCUCCUCCUCCAAGGGAUCACAACUCCUCACCAGCAAGGGAACAAGGCUGGACAGAGAAUGAGUCUGAUGAAUUGACAGAAACAGGCUUCAGAAGGUGGGUAGUAACACACUUCACUGAGCUAAAAGAACAUAUUCUAACCCAAUGCAAAGAAACUAAGAACCUGAAAAAAGGUUUGAUGAAAUGCUAAUGAGAAUAAACAGCCUAGAGAGGAAUAUAAAUGAAUUGAUGGAGCUGAAAAAUAUAACAUGAGAACUUUGUGAAACAUACACAAGUUUCAAUAGCUGAAUCAUCCAAGCAGAAGAAAGGAUAUCAGAUAUUGAAGAUCAACUCAAUGAAAUAAAAUGAGAAGGCAAAAUUAGAGAAAAAAAGAGUAAAAAGAAAUGAACAAGGCCUCCAAGAAAUAUGGGAUUAGGUGAAAAGACCUAAUCCACGUUUGAUAGGUGUACCUUAAUGUGACAGAGAGAAUGAAUCCAAGCUGGAAAACACUCUUCAGGAUAUUAUCCAGGAGAACUUCCCCACCUAGCAAGGCAGACCAAUAUUCAAGUCCAGUAAAACAGAGAACACCACAAAGAUAUUCCUCAAGAAGAGCAACCCCAAGGUACAUAAUUGUCAGAUUCACAAGGGUUGAAAUUAAGGAGAAAAUGUUAAGGGCACCCAGAGAGAAAGGUCAGAUUACCCAAAAAGGGAAGCCCAUCAGACUCACAGCAGAUCUCUCAGCAAAAACCCUACAAGCCAGAAAAGAAUAGGGGUCAAUAUUCAACAACCUUAAAGAAAAGAACUUUCAACCUAGAAUUUCAUAACCAGCCAAACUAAGCUUCAUAAGCGAACCAGCAAUAAAAUCCUUUAUGAACAAGCAAUUACUCAGAGAUUUCAUCACCACCAGGCCUGCCUUACAAGAGCUCCUGAAAGAAGCAAUAAAUAUAGAAAGGAACAACCAGUACCAGCCACUCCAAAAAUGUACCAAAUGGUAAAGAGCAUCAACACAAUGAAGAAACUGUGUCAACUAAUGGGCAAAACAACCAGCUAGCAUCAAAAUGGCAGGAUGAAAUUCACACAUAAAAAUAUUAACCUUAAAUGUAAAUGGGAAAAAUGCCCCAAUCAAAAGAUACAGACUGGCAAAUUGGAUAAAAAGUCUAAACCCAUCAGUGUGCUGUGUCCAGGAAACCCAUCUCACAUACAAGGAUACACAUAGGCUCAAAAUAAAGGGAUGGAAUAAGAUUUACCAAGUAAAUGGAAAGCAAAAAAAUAAAAUAAAAUAAAAUCGGAGGAGUUGCAAUCCUAGUAUCUCAUAAAAUAGACUUUAAACCAACAAAGAUCAAAAGAGACAAAGAAGGGCAUUACAUAAUAGUAAAAGGAUCAAUGCAACAAGAAGAGCUAACAAUCCUAAAUAUAUAUGCACCUAAUACAGGAGCACCCAGAUACAUAAAGCAAGUUCUUAAUGACCUACAAAGAGUCUAAGUCUACAAAGAGACUUUCACACAGUAAAAGUGGGAGACUUUAACACUCCACUGUCAAUAUUAGACAGAUCAAUGAGACAGAAAAUUAACAGGGAUAUCCAGGACAUGAACUCAGAUCUGGACCAAGCAAACCUAAUAGACAUUUACAGAACUCCCCACCUCAAAUCCAUAGAAUAUACAUUCUUCUCAGCACCACAUUACACCUACACUAAAAUUGACCAGAUAAUUAGAAGUAAAUCACUCCUCAGCAAAUGCUAAAGAAUGAAAAUCAUAACAAAUAGUCUCUCAGACCACAGUGCAAUCAAAUUAGAACUCAGAAUUCAGAAACUAACUCAGAACGGCACAAUUUCACGGAAACUGAACAACUGGCUCUUGAAUGUUGACUGGAUAAACAAUGAAAUGAAGGCAGAAAUAAAGAUGUUCUUUGAAACCAACGAGAACAAAGACACAACAUACAAGAAUCUCUGGGACACAUUUAAAGCAGUGUCUAGAGGAAAAUUUAUAGCAAUAAAUGCCCACAUGAGAAGCAAGGAAAUAUAUAAAAUCGACACCCUAUUGUCAAAAUUCAAAGAGCUAGAGGAACAAGAUCAAAAACACUCAAAAGCUAGCAGAAGACAAGAAAUAACGAAGAACAGAGCAGAACUGAAGGAGAUAGAGAGGCAAAAAAAACCCCUUCAUAAAAUCAAUAAAUCCAGGAGCUGGUUUUUUGCAAAGAUCAACAAAAUAGACAGAUUGCUAGCCAAAUUAAUAAAAAAGAAAAGAGAGAAUAAUCAAAUAGAUGCAAUAAAAAAUGAUAAAGGGGAUAUCACCACAGAUUCCACAGAAAUACAAACCACCAUCAGAGAUUACUACAAACAACUAUGUACACAUAAACCAGUAAACCUGGAAGAAAUGGAUAAAUUCCUGGACACUUGCAUCCUUCCAAGCCUAAACCAGGAAGAAGUCGAAACCCUGAAUAGACCAAUAACAAGGUCUUGAGGCAGCAAUUAAUAGCCUACCAACCAAAAAAAGCCCAGGUCCAGAUAGGUUCACGGCCUAAUUCUACCAGACAUACAAAGAAGAGCUGGUAUCACUCCUUCUGAAAUGAUUCCAAACAAUACAAAAAGAGGGAAUCCUUCCCAAAUCAUUUAUGAGACCAACAUCAUCCUGCUAUCAAAAUCUGGCAGAGACUCAACAAAAACAGAAAACUUCAGGCCAAUAUCCAUGAUGAACAUAGAUGCAAAUAUUUUCAAUAAAAUACUGGCAAACCGAUUGCAACAGCAUAUCAAAAAGCUUAUCCAUCACGAUCAAGUAGGCCUCAUCCCAGGGAUGCAAGGCUGGUUUAACAUAUGCAAGUCUAUAAACGUAAUUCACCACAUAAACAGAACCAAAGACAAAAACCACAUGAUUAUCUCAAUAGAUACAGAGAAAGCCUUUGACAAAAUUCAACAGCCCUUUAUGCUAAAAACCCUCAAUAAAUUAGGUAUCAACAGAACGUAUCUCAAAAUAAUAAAAGCUAUUUAUGACAAACCAACAGCCAAUUUCAUACUGAAUGGGCAAAAACUGGAAGCGUUCCCUUUGAAAUCUGGCACUAGACAAGGAUGCCCUCUCUCACGCCUCCUAUUCAAUAUAGUACAGGAAGUUCUAGCCAGAGCAAUCAGGCAAGAAAAAGAAAUAAAGGGCAUUCAAUCAAUUAGGAAAGGAGGAAGUCAAAUUGUCUCUAUUUGCAGAUGACAUGAUUGUAUAUUUAGAAGACCCCAUUGUCUCAGCCCCAAAUCUCCUGAAACUGAUAAGCAACUUCAGCAAAGUUUCAGGAUACAAAAUCAAUGUGCAAAAAUCAAAAGAAUUCCUAUAUACCAAUAACAGACUUAAAGAAAGCCAAAUCAAGAAGGAACUGCCAUUCACAAUUGCUACAAAGAGAAUAAAAUACCUAGGAAUACAACUAACAAAGGAUGUAAAGGACCUCUUCAAGGAGAACUACAAACCACUACUCAAUGAAAUAAGAAAGGACACAAAUAGAUGGAAAAACAUUCCAUGAUCAUGAUUAGGAAGAAUCAAUAUUGUGAAAAUGGCCAUAAUGCUUGAAGUAAUUUAUAGAUUCAAUGCUAUCCCCAUCAAGCUACUUAUGACUCUCUUUACAGAACUGGAAAAAACCACCUUAAACUUCAUAUGGAACCAAAAGAGAGCCCACAUAGCCAUGUCAAUCCUAAGCAAAAAGAACAAAGCUGGAGGCAUCACACUACCUGACUUCAAACUAUACUACAAGGCUACAGUAAUCAAAACAGCAUGGUACUGUUACCAAAACAGAGAUAUAAACCAACGGAACAGAACAGAGGCCUCAGAGGCAGAGCCACACAUCUACAACCAUCUGAUCUUUGAAAAACCUGACAAAAACAAGCAAUGGGGAAAGGAUCCCCUGUUUAAUAAAUGGUGUUGGGAAAACUGGCUAGCCAUGUGCAGAAAGCAGAAACUGGACUCCUUCCUGACACCUUACACUAAAAUUAACUCCAGAUGGAUUAAAGACUUAAACCUAAGACCUAACAUCUUAAAAACCCUAGAAGAAAAGCUAGGCAAAACCAUUCAGGACAUGAGCAUAGGCAAGACUUCAUGUCUAAGACACCAAAAGCAUUGGCAACAAAAGCCAAAAUAGACAAAUGGGACCUAAUUAAACUCCAGAGCUUCUGUACAGCAAAAGAAACAAUCAUUAGAGUAAACCAGCAACCAACAGAAUGGGAAAAAAUUUUUGCAAUGUACCCAGAAUUUACAAAGAACUGAAACAGAUUUACAAGAAGAAAAAAAAACCCAUUCAAAAGUGGGUGAAGGAUAUGAACAGACACUUUUCAAAAGAAAACAUAUAUGAGGCCAACAAACAUGAAAAAAUGGUCGUCAUCACUGGUCAUCAGAGAAAUGCAAAUCAAAACUACAUUGAGAUACCAUCUCACACCAGUUAGAAUGGUGAUCAUUAAAAAUCUGGAGACAACAGAUGCUGUAGAGGAUGUGGAGAAAUAGCAACACUUUUACACUGUUUGUGGGAGUGUAAAUUAGUUCAACCAUUGUGGAAGACAGUGUGGUGAUUCCUCAAGGACCUCGAAAUAGAAAUUCCAUUUGACCCGGCAAUCCCAUCUAUAAUGGAAGGAUUAUAAAUCAUUCUAUUAGAAAGCUACAUGCACACAUAUGUUCACUGCAGCACUGUUUACAAUAGCAAAGACUUGGAACCAACCCAAAUGCCCACUGAUGAUAGACUGGACAGGGAAAAUGUGGUACAUAUAUACCAUGGAAUACUAUGCAGCCAUAAAAAAUGAUGAGUUUGUGUCCUUUGUAGGGACAUGGAUGAACCUGGAAACCAUCAUUCUCAGCAAACUGAAACAAGAACAGAAAAUCAAACACCACAUGUUCUCACUCAUAGGCAGGUGUUGAACAAUGAGAAGACAUGGACACAGGGAGAGGAGCAUCACACACUGAGGUCGGUUGGUGGAGACUAUGGGAGGGACAGGGGGUAGGGAGUUGGGGAGGGAUAACAUGGGGAGAAAUGCCAGAUAUAGAUGAUGGAUGGAGGCAGCAAACCACAUUGCCAUGUAUGUAUCUAUGCAACAAUCCUGCAUGUUCUUCACAUGUACCCCAGAACCUAAAGUGCAAUUAAAAAAAAAAAAAAAAAU
Molecule: non-coding RNA, 16715 nt
Organism: Callithrix jacchus (white-tufted-ear marmoset)
Lineage: Eukaryota; Metazoa; Chordata; Mammalia; Primates; Cebidae
Source: RefSeq, a predicted model, not a curated record